Molecule: non-coding RNA, 125 nt
Organism: Nannospalax galili (Upper Galilee mountains blind mole rat)
Lineage: Eukaryota; Metazoa; Chordata; Mammalia; Rodentia; Spalacidae
Source: Ensembl
ACAGAGGAGAAAGAAGGCUGAGUCUGAUGAAGCAAGACUUUGUGGAUACACUUCUCCUAGAAAAAAGAGGUACAGAGAGCAGCCCGUACUAGAGAAAAAUCACAGGGCUGACUGUUCUGACAUUU